RNAcentral lists this ribosomal RNA (250 nucleotides) under uncultured bacterium. Its description in RNAcentral is "partial 16S ribosomal RNA". It matches the Rfam family "Bacterial small subunit ribosomal RNA", at positions 524 to 773 of the family's 1533-position model. RNAcentral also lists the same sequence under 1 other name. The record is from RNAcentral.
GACGAAGGGGGCUAGCGUUGUUCGGAAUUACUGGGCGUAAAGCGAGUGUAGGUGGUUUUCCAAGUUGGAUGUGAAAGCCUUGAGCUCAACUCAAGAAAUGCAUUCAGGACUGGGAGACUAGAGGACCGGAGAGGAUAGUGGAAUUCCCAGUGUAGUGGUGAAAUACGUAGAGAUUGGGAAGAACACCAGUGGCGAAGGCGGCUAUCUGGACGGUUUCUGACACUAAGACUCGAAAGCGUGGGGAGCAAAC